UGUACUAGAAGUGCGUGGGAAAGCUUCAAACUUAAGAAAUUGGAAGGACUUGCAAUCGGAGAUGAUAUUAUGGAUCAGUCUUUCUACGAAAGCCGAAAAGUUGCAAUCGGAGAAUGUCUCUCCCACAUUGCCGAAACAAAUGAUGUAGCACAAUUAGUAGGCGAUACAUUCACUAGGCAUUACGAACUAUACAAAGCACACUGGAAUCGUGGUGUCCGUGGCUCGGUGAUCGUUUGUGAUCCUCUCAUGUACCCUUGUCGAUCUUUGCAAUUUUUGGCUGCAGCACUUGGUGGUCCCGCUCUUGCUGGUAUUAU
Molecule: non-coding RNA, 314 nt
Filed under: Aureoumbra lagunensis
Lineage: Eukaryota; Pelagophyceae; Sarcinochrysidales; Sarcinochrysidaceae
Source: RNAcentral